AUCACAAAGACAUAAUAGUUAUUAGGGUGCAUGGGAUUAUUGAAAAUUGGAGGAAAUCAUAAUAAAUGGGGCUCUGGAUAAUUGAGUUCACAUUUUCAACUGAUUGCUUCUGUCACUUAAUUUCUAUAUUUUGAAUUAAUGAAAUAGUAGCAGAAACCAUUCUUCAGAACAUAAGGCAAGUUGGGGAUAAGUUUAUUGCAUGUGCAGGUGUGAGAUAUGUUUUUACAUUUAAUUUUAAAUUGCUAAAAUGGUUUUGCGUUUGAAAACCCUUACUUUCUUCAUAUCUUGGAGGCUUAAGUCAUAGUUUCAGCAUGUUUAGGUGGAGAUAAAUAUUCACUCUUCCCAACUGAUGGUGUUCUGUGAUGCAAACAUUUACAAGAGAGCCUGUCUCCUAGGGAAUAACUUGUCACUCGGCUGCGUGGGAGCUGUGGUUUGGUACUUAGAGGUGUAUUCUCCUUGUUCAGAUUGGCUGUCAGGUGUUUAGGGUUCCCAUGGAUGUUGUAUUUCAAGAGUUUUGCUCUGCUCAGUGUAGUUCUCAUAGGAAACACAAAGACUUAAGUACAAGUACUCAACACUCUUUGUUUUUCUUUUGCAGAUUCUAGACUUCCUCUGCUUUGUUGAACUGUGUUGAUUGAAUGCUAGUUAGUCCUCUUCUCUGCUUCCUUUCUAGUAAGCACUUGUCUUAGAAGCAGAAGCAUUUGUUUUUCAGUCUAGCAUAAAAAACGAGGUGAAUACUGGGUGCUUCAGUCGUCUUCUGUGUGGCCUGAAUAGCCAGUCCUGGCACAAAUUAUAGUCUGCAGCAUCUAUUUUUCACUACCUGCAUUUGACUUCAUAUCAUUUUAACAGAAUGAAGAACCAAUUUGUGUGUGUGUGUGUGUGUGUGUGUGUGUGUGUUAGUUCAAUGAACCACUUUUCCAUGGCAAUGAGUUCUGUAAUUUCACCUCUCAAUUUCCGUAGGCCUCUCAGUUCAGUCUCUUCCAUGGACCACAAUUAACUGCCCGCAAAAAUAUUUUAUUAGCCCACCAUUUCUAUAUAUGUUUAUUGUAAUUUAUGGCAUGAUGACAGACUGAAAUGGGGGUGGGUGGCGAGGGAUGGAGAGGGAUACAAUCUGAGAUUGUUUCUUCAUCCUGGAACUGGAAAAGAGGAUUGCAACUAGGCACAAAGUUAGAAUUGGUGUAGACAUUUAAUUGGCUUCUGAAUGGAAUGUUCUCGUAAGUGCAUGAAAGUUCACUUACAUUUCAUCUCAUCCUCCCUUCUUUAUAUGAGUUCAUAUUUAUUUGGAAAUUGUGCAAUGAGUAUUAGCAUGUUGCAAUCUUCUUCUUUUUCUGGUUGUGCAAAUUCUUUUAACUUAGCCCUUUGAAGACCAGUGAGAAAAAGAUGCUGUGGCUGAAAGAUCUGAUGCCACAAACGAACACUUAGUUCUUUAUCAUGUUCUUCCCCUAGUUCCGCAUAAUGACAUUGUGAAAUAAGCGUUGCCAGGAAAUCCUAGCCAAGUUGGCAGAUGCAUUGGAACGCCUGUAACAACAUGGACAUAGCAAGUGCAUUCCAUGGCCUCUCCCUUUUUGUGUUCUCCCUUUCCUCUUGCCAGCUCUGCACUGCCUCUCCCCCAUCAAAGACUGAUACAUUUCCCUGUGAUGUUUUCUUGCUUCUCUGAAUUUCAACAUGCAGAUUGAUAACUACUGUUCUCUGUUUCCAGCUGUUUUUGGCUCAAGCCAGCAGUGCCAUCCUUCUGUAAUUAAAUAAAGCAUUCAUAGAACGGUGCUAAUUUUCAGCACUGGGUCUUCCAUUCACUCAGAAUUAUGUGUUGUUUUCUCUAGUCCACCAUUCUUUUUCUCAUGAUGUCAAACCAGAUACUUCAGGAUAGCACAGGAUAAAGAUAGCAAACAAAGGAUAAAGCUAAUAGUCUUCCCCUGGUGCCCCCCGCUCCCCAGUAACUAGUAUUCAAAGGCAUAAGGUCUCUAAACCUGGAGAUUCCAUUGAGACUGUGGCCAAUAGCCAUUUAUAUACCUCCAAACACUUGUACAGUCCCCUUUUAAUGCUAUCUAACCUUGUUGCCAUCACUGCUGAGAAUUACACAUGAUAUGCAUUGUGUGUAUAAGUACUUUGUGUCUGUCUUAAACUGUCAUAUUAUGGGAGACACUUUGUUUUUUCUGUUUCCUCGCCUAGUAUAAUUUGAGAAAACCUUUCUUAUGUGCCCUCUUAGUUCUGCUAGGUAUUUAGCCUCUUGGGUAUGUUUAGCCUGAAGAAGAGGAGACUGAGAGAAGAUAUGAUAGCCAUCUUCAAAUACCAAAAGGGCUGUCAAAUGAAAGAUGGAGCAAGUUUGUUUCUGUGUGUUUUGGAGGGUAGGACUUGAACUAAUGGCUUCAAGGUACAAGAAAGGAGAUUCCAACUGAACAUCGGGAAGAACCUUUGGAUGGUAAGAGCUGUUCAGCAGUGGAAUGGACUCCCAUGAGAGGUGAUGAACUCUCCUUCCUUGGAGAUUUUUAAGCGGAGGUUGGAUACUCAUCAGGCAUGGAUGCUUUAGUUGAGAUUCCUGCAUGGCAGGGGUUGGACUCCCUCUCAACUCUACAAUUCUAUGAUGCUUUAAUCUUCCGCUUUCACCUUUAUUCAUAGAGAAGAUUCUCCAAGCCUUUGCUAUUGAAGUUGGUCGCUUCUGUUGUAUUUGUGUGGGUUCGCCAGAACUUUGAACAGCAUUCCAAACACAGUUGCAUCAUAAAAGGUGGUAAUGGUAAUAAUUGUGGGGUGGAUUAAUUAAAAGAUUCCAGUUUUAUUCACAGUAAGCCUGCAGUCUUUCACAUACUUGGGGCCAAGUCCCAUUAAAUACAUUGGGAUUUAUUUCCAAGAAAUUAGUACAGUAAUCUGAUUUGGCUGUACAGUUGCAAUCCUACACAGUGAUUUUAGUGGAGCAUACUGCCAAAUUAGCCAGCCAGUUAAGGUUGUCCCUGAAUUUUGCUUUUGUUUACUGCUGCCAUUUUAACUUUAUGCCAGGUACUAAACCAUAUAUCAUUUCAUUGUUUGGCUUUACCCAGAAACCUUUGAAUAGUGUGCCAGCAUCUGCUGCUUUUUCCCAUAUGGAGAAAAGAAUAUGCCUUUCAAUGUAGUAGAAAAUCAAAAUCUUACACAGUCAAUGUUUAAUAUUUUCUCAAUGGUAUCGUUAUAUAAGCUUCUUCCUGCAAUAGCUUCUAGAGAAGUACUGUUUUAGACUUUGUAUAAGAUGUGAUCGACACUUCUACUUUAAAUUCUUUCUCUAGCUCUUAUCAUUUGAAAUCUUUUGUUUUUUGACACCUGUCUUCAGAUGUAGGCCUGAUGGAUCUCAAUUUUCCCACCCCCCUUUAGCCUUUAAACAUGUGGGUUAAUUUAAUCCUGAUGAAAGUUGGAGCCUGAGAGCACAUUUUGUGAAUGAGACAUAUUAACAGCAGGUUUUCAACAGAUUUCCUCAAGCGUGUCUAUCCAUACAGUCAAGUUUUGAUCCGAGUCACCUCAGCUUGUCUGGUCCUGUGUUUCACUUGGGCAGAUGCUACUGGUUGUAAUUAAUCAGCUUGUAGUGAAACAGAAGCUAGGAUUUGACUGAUAAUGUAUGAUUUGUAAAUAUCUAAGACCUAGACCCCUCAAAUGCUUAUUAGAUCAUAAUUUUUAUUUUUGCUAAACUGUCAAAUGCUCCUCAUAGAUAUAGCUAGUUAUCCUUAUUCAAAUGCUGCCUGCAUGCACGCAAGUCGUUUGUUUGUUUUGCAAUGUUUACAGACUGCUUUCCAAACAACGUUUCCUAAAGCAGUUUGCAAAAAUGUGCACAGAUAACAAUGACUAUUCCGUAUGUACUUCUGUCUAACUAUUAUUGGGACUAUGGGGGCUACAUUCAAAUACUAUGAGUACUCUGUGAACAUGUAGGACAAAGUAGUAAGGUAAGGAGGUAAGGACAAUGGCUCAUUAUUUUUGUUGCAUGCUUAUGGAGAGUGCACACCACAUAAACGAGAACAAGAGGACCAUUUCUCUCAGGUGAUCUCAGUAGUAGUAAUGUAUUGAGUUUCCUUUCCAUCUCAACUAUUUUAGUGAACAAUCAAGUUCUAUUCUUAUUUUAAGGAGCAAUAUUAUAUAGCACUUUUGCCACAGUGCAUUUAACUGUGUUUAGAUUUGUGUUACACAGGAGGCUGGGGAAAUAAAAAUGAGUGAUAGCUGCCAAUGCCAGUCCCUGGCUAACCGGACAUAAAACCCCAUAGCUUAUCAGCUAUGAAUAUAGCAAUAGUGGCUUUAAGUAGCAUAACACCUGCUUUAAAAUAUUUUCUUGUCUCUCCCCUUUCCUGCCCUCCCCCCAGGUUGGAAAAAUGGUUGUUCAAUGCUUCAGGAGAAACUUUAGUAAACCUCUUUAGGAAGGUAAUUCUAUGGUUCUUCUGCAGGCACUCUUUCUGGUUCAAACAGGAACAGCUUGGAUGUAUAGUCAACUCAAGCAAUCAUAGUGCAACAACAUGAUAGGAACAUCAAUAUGAUCUAGGAAAUUUGCCUCAGGGUCAUCUGGUGCGACACUAGUCUUGCGUUGAUAGGAGUUUGGGGAUAGAGAUUUUGGACCACUGAUUGCACAGCAAAACUUACUGUGUUGGUCUUGCCUGCGGUUCAUAGAUAGUGAAGUUUAUGCACAGCAAGGACCAGGCAUUCUUAAUAUAGCCUGUAACCAGUCAACAGUAGUGGCCCCAUGUAAGGCACAUUAUGGUAGUCUUCAAGUUUAGGAAAGCAAGACUAGCAGUCUCUGUAUAUGAAAUGCUGCAGACUUUUUGUCUGAUGGAGUUUGCGGAAAGUGCUCCUGGCUUGGUCUUACCCUACCAUGAGGCAGAGUGAGGCAGCUGCCUUGGAUGGCAAAUGUUUAGGAGUGGGGAGUUGAUAGAGCUUUGUGUGCCAUGUGGCCUAACCUAUGCCCUCUAAGAGAGCUUGCUUAUUUCAGUUGCAAUGGAGGGCAGUCUGGUUGGCUUUUGUACAUGGAAUGGAGGGAGGUGCCAUUUUGUUGACCUCAGACACCAAGAUGUCUCUCAGCCCCCACCCACCCCACAUUUCUGGCCACUGCCAUCACCAUUUUAGCUCCAUCUUGAACCACUCCAAAGUCAAAAUCAGAGGAUAGUAUUAAAGCCUCUAUUUUUGUACCUGUCCAUUUCUUCCCUUUUGUCUCCUUUCCCUUAUUACCUUACUGACGCUAAUUGCCUCAGUCUUGUCUGGGUUUUGCUUCAGGCUGCUUGCCAAUAUCAACUUCUGUACUAUAGCCAGGCAGAUAUAAUUAAACCAUGUUGAAGAACUGGACCAACAAAAGUUUAAUUGUACAAAGUUUGUGACAAAGAACAUCUUGGAUACACUACCCAUUUUUUUCUAGAUCUUGUACAGUUUUACAUUGAAUCUGCUGCCUAUGAUUUGAAUUUUUUUUUUAAAAAAAGUUUUAAUUUCACAAACUUUGCAAUAAACAACAUGCUGGAUGUAUUGCAAGACACCAUUCUGAUUUCCUCGAUCCUCUAUGUGUUUACAAGAUUGAAUUAGCUGUUGUGGUUGCUGCUUUGACCUCACACAUGUUGUUUCUGAUUUCUGGCAGUAGACAUGGCACUUUAUCUCUCUCUCAACAGUGGGUGGGACAAGCAGCUCAGCGGGCAAGCAUCUCACCAAGUCCUAGAGUUCAUCAUUCCCGCCUUCAUUCAGACACAUCCAUGAAUCUGUCUCUUACCUCUGACACCAAGAUUUCCUUUGUUUUUGAACAGUGGGCUCUCAUCAAACCAAUAGCCAAGCAUCAAAAAAGAAGUUUCUCCUUCGCUGCUGCUAGCACAUCUUACGCCCAAUUUUUCUUUUCUUUUUCCAGUGUUCUUACAACCUCAUGCAGUAUUCAAAACAGC
Molecule: non-coding RNA, 5858 nt
Organism: Podarcis lilfordi (Lilford's wall lizard)
Lineage: Eukaryota; Metazoa; Chordata; Lepidosauria; Squamata; Lacertidae
Source: the annotation of a GenBank genome assembly